GGUCACCGUAGCGCCACGUACGUAGAUCCUUCUUAUUCGGAGCAACGUCAGUACGGCCGCGGCAGCCGAGGCGACAACCUCGUCCGGAGCGACAUCGGUGGCACCGCGUACGACAUCCUUGUCGAAGAGAAAUGAGAAGCUGGAAAGGACACAGGCAGAGAGAGAGAGAUACAUUGGGGCUCGCAAAUCGUCAUCACGGUGCCUGGUUCAUUGCAUUACUUAUUCAACUCCCAACCACGAAGGACAGCGGUUGCAUGGCAUCGCACAAUACGUUUACAGGU
Molecule: unclassified non-coding RNA, 281 nt
Filed under: Athalia rosae (coleseed sawfly)
Lineage: Eukaryota; Metazoa; Arthropoda; Insecta; Hymenoptera; Athaliidae
Description: misc RNA ENSAEAG00005004585.1
Source: RNAcentral